UACGGAAGGCAGCAGUGGGGAAUAUUGCACAAUGGGCGAAAGCCUGAUGCAGCUAUGCCGCGUGUAUGAAGAAGGCCUUAGGGUUGUAAAGUACUUUCAUCGGGGAGGAAAAACAAAACUAAUAAUUUUAUUUCUUGACGUUACCCGAAAAAGAAGCACCGGCUAACUCCGUGCCAGCAGCCGCGGUAAUACGGAGGGUGCUAGCGUUAAUCAGAAUUACUGGGCGUAAAGAGCACGUAGGUGGUUUUUUAAGUCAGAUGUGAAAUCCCUGGGCUUAACCUAGGAACUGCAUUUUGAAACUGAAAUACUAGAGUAUCGUAGAGGGAGGUAGAAUUCUAGGUGUAGCGGUGAAAUGCGUAGAUAUCUAGAGGAAUACCUGUGGCGAAAGCGGCCUCCUAAACGAAUACUGACACUGAGGUGCGAAAGCGUGGGGAGCAAACAGGGAUUAGAUACC
This 454-nucleotide ribosomal RNA is filed under the name uncultured bacterium. Its description in RNAcentral is "bacterial SSU rRNA". It matches the Rfam family "Bacterial small subunit ribosomal RNA", at positions 340 to 786 of the family's 1533-position model. The record is from RNAcentral.